This 1953-nucleotide unclassified non-coding RNA is filed under the name Hevea brasiliensis (rubber tree). The record is from RNAcentral. Lineage: Eukaryota; Viridiplantae; Streptophyta; Magnoliopsida; Malpighiales; Euphorbiaceae.
UGGAGCAUGAACAUAUGUUGGUGAUACCACAAAAGAGAAUUGGCGAAUGAUCAUAGUUAGAACAAUUUUCAUUUCAGCCAUGGCUAAACUCUGUCCCACACAUAUUCUAGGGCCUAAACUCCAUGGGAAAAACAUGGCCGAUUGUUUUCGAGCUUCGAUGAAUCUCUGAGGAUUGAAAUCAUCAGCAUCUACACCCCAUAUCCCAGUAUCCCGAUGAGCCUUGCUUAAGGCCAAAAAAAGUUCUGUUCCUGCAGGAAUUUCUAGUUUCCCUAGCUUAAUGUCUUUCCUUGCUUGCCUGGUCAACCCAACAACUGGAGUGUAGAGUCGAAGUGUUUCAUUUAAUAUCAUGCUUAUAAUCUUAAGUUCACCAAGCAUAUCUGCAGUAGGAAGCUCUUUCUCUCCGCAAACUCGAACUACUUCUUCACUGGCUUUGAUUUGCCAAUCUUGAUGCAUUGAUAAAAGGAGAAGUGCCCAAGUCAAAGUAUUAGCGCUUGUUUCUUUUCCUGCAAAAUAAAACGUCAUGCAUUCAUCAACAACUUCCUCAACCUCUAAUUUCUCAUCUUUACCAUCACGAUUCUUGUGAGGACAUGUUAACAGGCUAAGUAAAUUUGUUGAGUUCUCUCCUAUUCUGCUGUUAGUCUCGAUCAAUUCCCGAAUGGAUGCACGAAUUUCCUUCUCCACUCUCCACCUCUCUUUGUUCAUCUUGGUAGGCAAAAACCUGAACCCUGGUAUGUAAACAUUUUGGCGAGCCCGAGAGACAAGACGCAUUUGCUUUUCUUGUAAACUAAAUAUAUGCUUUCCCUCUUCAUAGCUGCUCCCAAAAAUUGUCCUGGAAAUGACAUCCGCUGACAGAUUAUGAAGUUCUUUAUGCACUUCCACUUCGAAUUCGUCUUUUCCUUGUCUUUGUUCUUCCCAAUUUUCCAGCAUUUUCAAUGUACUAGCUACAAUUUUUGGCACCCAUCUCUUAACUUGCUUCAUGUUUAGGGCGAGACUAGUGAUUCUCCUGUGAAGAGCCCAUUUCUCACCAGUAAGCGCAGCAAGUCCGUCUCCCAAGAGCUGCUUAGCUAUGGGUUCUAUACCAGCCUUCUCAAAUAACCCGCUCGUAUCCAUAAGAAUCUCCUUAAUCAAGCCUGCCUCAGCUAUCGCCAAUUUUGGUGUUGUACCAAACCAGUACAGUAACGUCUCCCCAUAAUCGCAAGACCACCUGUGGUGAAAUGGUAGCACUCGAUGGAGGAUGUUGUGAUCAAAUAAUGACAUUCGCCUCGACUGAGCCACUGCCGUCAGGCGGCGCAUCUCUGCCACAUUCCCGAACAUUGGCCGGUAGCCAGGGCCGCGGAUUCCUUGUUUCUGGAAGUGGGCUUGAAUUUUGUAUGGCACCCAUAAUAUUGAGUAAGCAAAUUUCAUAAGAGAUAUAGCAAGAAGUAAGGAUAACAUCACAAGAAAUGAGAGAUACAUGAUGAUCCCCAUGGGUAGGAGAGGCAAGGAUGAAUUUAUUUAUAGGCUAGAAAGAAUCAGUUCCUCUGGAGUUCGGUAAGAUGUACAUCAUGGAGGAGGGAAUAUUAUAUUGCAGGCCAACUGGCCACUGCUUUUAAAACUAUGUAACAGUACAUAUUAAUUAAGUUCUCAUAUGUAGAAGUUGCUUAAAGUUGUUGAUAUGGGAACAUCAAAAGCAUCCCAGCACGGCUUAGCCUUAGAUUCCCUUCCAUAACCAAUCGUUGGGCCAUAUCGCACAAAAAAAUAUGCUGUCCCUUGUCAACCAAGUGCCAGUAGUUUAUUGCCCAUCUUAUUUAUUCAUUUAUUUGAGCAGAUACCUCAGCUUCUCUCGAAAGAAAGGGGAAAUUUUAAAGAUACAUCUGUUGUAUGUAACGGUCGUAUUCUAAAAUUAAACUGGCCACACAAUUAGGAGACUGAAGAAUGCCCCCAAAUAGGUCCUGGAUUUGAUGAGUUAAUAGU